GCUGAAGACAGGCAAAAGCUCUGACAAGACUUUGAUCCUUCUUCAAGGCCUGGGAAUAACCUCAGGCAGCCAGGACCUGCUCUGCCUGUGGGGCUCACAGAUUGCAUGAAGUGCAAGGAUGAGCUGAAAG
Long non-coding RNA from Homo sapiens (human), 130 nucleotides. RefSeq lists it as uncharacterized. Lineage: Eukaryota; Metazoa; Chordata; Mammalia; Primates; Hominidae. The transcript is spliced from 3 exons. The record is from RefSeq and is a predicted model, not a curated record.